RNAcentral lists this long non-coding RNA (1138 nucleotides) under Calidris pugnax (ruff). Its description in RNAcentral is "lncRNA (ENSCPUG00000007516.1)". The record is from RNAcentral. Lineage: Eukaryota; Metazoa; Chordata; Aves; Charadriiformes; Scolopacidae.
CCAGGUGCUGGCGUGGGGGCUGCGGGGGCUGCGGGGGGGCGUGCGGGCGCCCAGCCUGGAGGUGCAGUGUGGGGGCCAGACCCUGCGGACCCCCCCCAUCGCCGACCUCGCCACCAACCCCAAUUUCCCCAUCAACGCCUUCCUGCUGACGCUGGNNNNNNNNNNNNNNNNNNNNNNNNNNNNNNNCCCCAAUUUCCCCAUCACCGCCUUCCUGCUGACGCUGGUGAGGAUGAUGGGGGGCUGGUGGGGGGGUGUGUGGGGGGUAGCACCCCCCGGGGGGGCUGCUGCUGGCCCCCCGGGGUGACGGGGUGGCUCGGCCCCAGCAUCUCCCGGAGGAGGAGGGGUACAUGCCCCCCAUCCGGCUGCGGGUGCUGGACACGAGGGGUUUUGGGUACCGGCCCGAAGUGGGGCAGGCCUGCGUGCGGGACCUGGGGCGCUACUGCUGCCAGCCCCACGGCGAGGGGCAGCCCCACAGCUCUGGAAACCUUCCUCCUGACUCUGGCAGGACCCCAUCCCGGGGUGGUUUCUUUGUCCCUCUCCUCCCCACAGCUGCUCCCUGGGGCAGGAUAGCUCGGGUGAGUCCUCCACGUCCCCAGCACCCACCGCACAGCGGGGUCCCCCGUGCCUCAGUUUCCCCAAGUAGAGUCCCCUUUGCUCCCUGCAGAUGCUGCCCAGGAUCACCACCAAGAAGAAGGGGGCUGUGGACAACAAGGUGGGCACGGGAAUGGGGCCACCAAAGCCACCAGGGCAACUCAUGCCACCAGUGUCCCCCCCCCAUCCUGCUCCCCACCAGGCUGCGGAGGAGGAAGAUGAGGAAGAGGACGACUGGUGGAGCAAAUUCUACGCGGCCAUGGGGGACAAGGCAAAGAGCCGGAGGAGGAACAACAGGGACAGACUGAAGAUCUACAGCUGCGAGCUGGAGGCGGUGCCCGAAUUCGAGGGGCUGCAGGAUUUCUGUCAGACCUUCCCCCUCUACCAACCGGGGGGGCACCCCACGCCGGGGGAGGACCCUGUGGGCGAGUUCAAGGUGGGUGAGAGCCCCUUGGGGGGACCCCAGAGCUGGGGUGGGGGCACCUCGGGGUGCACAGCCAGGUGGGUCUCCCAGGGGCUUUUCUGUGUCUACCCCCUGCCCGAGGAC